RNAcentral lists this ribosomal RNA (449 nucleotides) under uncultured prokaryote. RNAcentral describes it as "bacterial SSU rRNA". It matches the Rfam family "Bacterial small subunit ribosomal RNA", at positions 355 to 796 of the family's 1533-position model. The record is from RNAcentral.
UGAGGAAUAUUGGGCAAUGGGCGAAAGCCUGACCCAGCCACGCCGCGUGAGUGAUGAAGGCCUUCGGGUCGUAAAGCUCUGUGGGGAGAGACGAAAGUGCGCAUCAGGAAAUGGGUGCGUUUUGACGGUACCUCCUUAGCAAGCACCGGCUAACUCUGUGCCAGCAGCCGCGGUAAUACAGAGGGUGCAAACGUUGCUCGGAUUUACUGGGCGUAAAGCGCGUGUAGGCGGACUCGCAAGUCGGUUGUGAAAUCCCUGGGCUCAACCUAGGAACUGCAUCCGAAACUGCUUGUCUUGAGUAAUGGAGAGGGUGGCGGAAUUCCCGGUGUAGAGGUGAAAUUCGUAGAUAUCGGGAGGAACACCAGUGGCGAAGGCGGCCACCUGGACAUUCACUGACGCUGAGACGCGAAAGCGUGGGGAGCAAACAGGAUUAGAUACCCCCGUAGUCC